GGGGGGGGUAAGCGUUGUUCGGAAUUACUGGGCGUAAAGGGCUCGUAGGCGGCCAACUAAGUCAUACGUGAAAUCCCUCAGCUUAACUGGGGAACUGCGUGUGAUACUGGAUGGCUUGGAUUUGGGAGAGGGAUGCGGAAUUCCAGGUGUAGCGGUGAAAUGCGUAGAUAUCUGGAGGAACACCGGUGGCGAAGGCGGCAUCCUGGACCAAUAUUGACGCUGAGGAGCGAAAGCCAGGGGAGCAAACGGGAUUAGAUACCCCGGUAGUCCUGGCCCUAAACGAUGAAUGCUUGGUGUAGCGGGUAUCGAUCCCUGCUGUGCCGAAGCUAACGCAUUAAGCAUUCCGCCUGGGGAGUACGGUCGCAAGGCUG
Molecule: ribosomal RNA, 371 nt
Filed under: uncultured bacterium
Lineage: Bacteria
Description: bacterial SSU rRNA
Rfam family: Bacterial small subunit ribosomal RNA
Source: RNAcentral